GCAGUCGAGCGAAUGGUUAAGAGCUUGUCUUAUGAAGUUAGCGGCGGACGGGUGAGUAACACGUGGGUAACCUGCCCAUAAGACUGGGAUAACUCCGGGAAACCGGGGCUAAUACCGGAUAACAUUUUGAACCGCAUGGUUCGAAAUUGAAAGGCGGCUUCGGCUGUCACUUAUGGAUGGACCCGCGUCGCAUUAGCUAGUUGGUGAGGUAACGGCUCACCAAGGCAACGAUGCGUAGCCGACCUGAGAGGGUGAUCGGCCACACUGGGACUGAGACACGGCCCAGACUCCUACGGGAGGCAGCAGUAGGGAAUCUUCCGCAAUGGACGAAAGUCUGACGGAGCAACGCCGCGUGAGUGAUGAAGGCUUUCGGGUCGUAAAACUCUGUUGAAAGAACAAGUGCUAGUUGAAUAAGCUGGCACCUUGACGGUACCUAACCAGAAAGCCACGGCUAACUAA
Molecule: ribosomal RNA, 459 nt
Filed under: Bacillus anthracis (anthrax bacterium)
Lineage: Bacteria; Bacillati; Bacillota; Bacilli; Caryophanales; Bacillaceae
Description: bacterial SSU rRNA
Rfam family: Bacterial small subunit ribosomal RNA
Source: RNAcentral